RNAcentral lists this transfer RNA (68 nucleotides) under Camponotus atrox. RNAcentral describes it as "tRNA-Glu". The record is from RNAcentral. Lineage: Eukaryota; Metazoa; Arthropoda; Insecta; Hymenoptera; Formicidae.
GUUUAUAUAGUUUAUUAAAAAACAUUAUACUUUCACUAUAAAAAUAAUAUAAAAUUUAUAUUUUAAUA